ACGGGAGGCAGCAGUGGGGAAUAUUGCACAAUGGGCGCAAGCCUGAUGCAGCAACGCCGCGUGAGGGAAGACGGUUUUCGGAUUGUAAACCUCUGUUCUUGGUGACGAAGAAGUGACGGUAGCCAAGGAGAAAGCCACGGCUAACUACGUGCCAGCAGCCGCGGUAAUACGUAGGUGGCAAGCGUUGUCCGGAUUUACUGGGUGUAAAGGGAGCGCAGGCGGGACUGCAAGUUGGAUGUGAAAUGCCGCAGCUUAACUGCGGAGCUGCAUCCAAAACUGUAGUUCUUGAGUGAAGUAGAGGUAAGCGGAAUUCCGAGUGUAGCGGUGAAAUGCGUAGAUAUUCGGAGGAACACCAGUGGCGAAGGCGGCUUACUGGGCUUUAACUGACGCUGAGGCUCGAAAGUGUGGGGAGCAAACAGGAUUAGAUACCCUGGUA
This 436-nucleotide ribosomal RNA is filed under the name uncultured Oscillospiraceae bacterium. RNAcentral describes it as "bacterial SSU rRNA". It matches the Rfam family "Bacterial small subunit ribosomal RNA", at positions 341 to 792 of the family's 1533-position model. Lineage: Bacteria; Bacillati; Bacillota; Clostridia; Eubacteriales; Oscillospiraceae. The record is from RNAcentral.